GCAGGGAAUCUUGCGCAAUGGGCGAAAGCCUGACGCAGCAACACCGCGUGGGGGAUGAAGGCUCACGGGUCGUAAACCCCUUUUCUCAGGGAAGAAAAAAAUGACGGUACCUGAGGAAUAAGCCUCGGCCAACUACGUGCCAGCAGCCGCGGUAAUACGUAGGAGGCAAGCGUUAUCCGGAUUCACUGGGCGUAAAGAGCGCGCGGGCGGUCCUCUAAGUUAGAUGUGAAAGCUCUCAGCUUAACUGAGAGAAGCCAUUUAAUACUGGGGGGCUUGAGGGCAGCAGAGGAAGAUGGAAUUCCCGGUGUAGUGGUGAAAUGCGUAGAUAUCGGGAGGAACACCAGUGGCGAAGGCGGUCUUCUGGGCUGUACCUGACGCUGAGGCGCGAAAGCGUGGGGAGCAAACAGGAUUAGAAACCCGGGUAGUCC
RNAcentral lists this ribosomal RNA (428 nucleotides) under uncultured bacterium. Its description in RNAcentral is "bacterial SSU rRNA". It matches the Rfam family "Bacterial small subunit ribosomal RNA", at positions 354 to 796 of the family's 1533-position model. The record is from RNAcentral.